This 253-nucleotide ribosomal RNA is filed under the name uncultured bacterium. Its description in RNAcentral is "partial 16S ribosomal RNA". It matches the Rfam family "Bacterial small subunit ribosomal RNA", at positions 524 to 776 of the family's 1533-position model. The record is from RNAcentral.
UACGGAGGGUGCAAGCGUUAUCCGGAAUCACUGGGUUUAAAGGGUGCGUAGGCGGCUUUGUAAGUCAGAGGUGAAAGCUCACGGCUCAACUGUGGAAUUGCCUUUGAUACUGCAAGGCUUGAAUGAGUGCGAGGCAGGCGGAAUGUGGCAUGUAGCGGUGAAAUGCUUAGAGAUGCCAUAGAACACCGAUUGCGAAGGCAGCCUGCCAGAACUCAAUUGACGCUGAGGCACGAAAGCGUGGGGAGCGAACAGG